Molecule: ribosomal RNA, 451 nt
Filed under: uncultured bacterium
Lineage: Bacteria
Description: bacterial SSU rRNA
Rfam family: Bacterial small subunit ribosomal RNA
Source: RNAcentral
AGAGUUUGAUCCUGGCUCAGAUUGAACGCUGGCGGCAUGCCUUACACAUGCAAGUCGAACGGUAACAGGUCUUCGGAUGCUGACGAGUGGCGAACGGGUGAGUAAUACAUCGGAACGUGCCCGAUCGUGGGGGAUAACGCAGCGAAAGCUGUGCUAAUACCGCAUACGAUCUACGGAUGAAAGCGGGGGAUCGCAAGACCUCGCGCGGACGGAGCGGCCGAUGGCAGAUUAGGUAGUUGGUGGGAUAAAAGCUUACCAAGCCGACGAUCUGUAGCUGGUCUGAGAGGACGACCAGCCACACUGGGACUGAGACACGGCCCAGACUCCUACGGGAGGCAGCAGUGGGGAAUUUUGGACAAUGGGGGAAACCCUGAUCCAGCCAUGCCGCGUGCAGGAUGAAGGCCUUCGGGUUGUAAACUGCUUUUGUACGGAACGAAAAGGUCCUUUCUAA